Molecule: long non-coding RNA, 356 nt
Organism: Oncorhynchus tshawytscha (Chinook salmon)
Lineage: Eukaryota; Metazoa; Chordata; Actinopteri; Salmoniformes; Salmonidae
Source: Ensembl
GGAUAACUAGAGGUCUCUUUUCUAACGCUUUGCACUGUUGGUAGAGGAUGAGUGCACAGGUCCCCUGUGCUGUGGUACAACUCCGUAUGGUGUAGAGGACCGAGGGGUGCUGUGCUGUAACCAGACCUUGCACCAUGUGGUGGAGGAUGGGUACCAGUGCUCCCCAGGUGGCCACUUGUAUCUGCCAUCCCGUGACAUGGUGUGUGGCUCACGAGUUCAUCUGAACGAUCCAGGCAAACACUGCUGUGGGGAGGAGACAUAUUACCCUCAGAAUGAAAUCUGCUGCAACGGACACAAACACAGCAGGUGGGGGAACAAGUCCUGCUGCGGAGUCAAGGCUUAUGACCCCAGCUGUG